AGUCGAGCGAACAAGAGAGGUGCUUGCACCUCUUGCGUUAGCGGCGGAUGGGUGAGUAACACGUGGGCAACCUGCCCUGUAGAUUGGGAUAACUCGCGGAAACGCGGGCUAAUACCAAAUAAUCCAUCGUACCUCCUGGUACGAUGUUGAAAGACGGUUUCGGCUGUCACUACAGGAUGGGCCCGCGGCGCAUUAGCUAGUUGGUGGGGUAAUGGCCUACCAAGGCGACGAUGCGUAGCCGACCUGAGAGGGUGAUCGGCCACACUGGGACUGAGACACGGCCCAGACUCCUACGGGAGGCAGCAGUAGGGAAUCUUCCACAAUGGACGAAAGUCUGAUGGAGCAACGCCGCGUGAGUGAAGAAGGAUUUCGGUUCGUAAAACUCUGUUGCGAGGGAAGAACAAGUACGAAGUAACUACUCGUACCUUGACGGUACCUCGUUAGAAAGCCACGGCUAACUACGUGCCAGCAGCCGCGGUAAUACGUAGGUGGCAAGCGUUGUCCGGAAUUAUUGGGCGUAAAGCGCGCGCAGGCGGUCCUUUAAGUCUGAUGUGAAAGCCCACGGCUCAACCGUGGAAGGUCAUUGGAAACUGGAGGACUUGAGUAUA
Molecule: ribosomal RNA, 608 nt
Filed under: bacterium 'c40-29 (40L3)'
Lineage: Bacteria
Description: bacterial SSU rRNA
Rfam family: Bacterial small subunit ribosomal RNA
Source: RNAcentral